RNAcentral lists this ribosomal RNA (253 nucleotides) under uncultured bacterium. RNAcentral describes it as "partial 16S ribosomal RNA". It matches the Rfam family "Bacterial small subunit ribosomal RNA", at positions 524 to 776 of the family's 1533-position model. The record is from RNAcentral.
UACGGAGGGUGCAAGCGUUGUUCGGAAUUAUUGGGCGUAAAGCGCGCGCAGGCGGAAAUAUAAGUCAGAUGUGAAAUCUCGGGGCUCAACUCCGAAAGUGCGUCUGAAACUGUUUUUCUAGAAUGCCGGAGGGGGAUGGGGAAUUUCUCAUGUAGGGGUAAAAUCCGUAGAGAUGAGAAGGAACACCUAUGGCGAAGGCACCAUCCUGGACGGUGAUUGACGCUGAGGCGCGAAGGCGUGGGGAUCAAACAGG